Molecule: ribosomal RNA, 490 nt
Filed under: uncultured bacterium
Lineage: Bacteria
Description: partial 16S ribosomal RNA
Rfam family: Bacterial small subunit ribosomal RNA
Source: RNAcentral
GAUGAACGCUAGCGAUAGGCUUAACACAUGCAAGUCGAGGGGCAGCAUGGUCUUAGCUUGCUAAGACUGAUGGCGACCGGCGCACGGGUGCGUAACGCGUAUGCAACUUGCCUCACAGAGGGGGAUAACCCGUCGAAAGACGGACUAAUACCGCGUACACUUGGGAUAGGGCAUCCUGACCCAAGGAAAUGAAAUUCGCUGUGAGAUAGGCAUGCGCCCCAUUAGCUAGUUGGUGAGGUAACGGCUCACCAAGGCGACGAUGGGUAGGGGAACUGAGAGGUUGAACCCCCACACUGGUACUGAGACACGGACCAGACCGCUACGGGAGGCAGCAGUGAGGAAGAUUGGUCAAGGGGCGAGAGCCUGAACCAGCCAAGUCGCGUGAAGGAUGACUGUCUUAUGGAUUGUAAACUUCUUUUAUACGGGAAUAACAAGAGUCACGUGUGGCUCCCUGCAUGUACCGUAUGAAUAAGCAUCGGCUAACUCCGUG